GGUCCAGGGAAGUUGAAAGGUGCCAUGGCAACAGCUGAAGGAUUUCUGGUGUUAAGCAAUUAAAACUUGGAUGGCGUGAAGGUGUGGAAUUGCCAAGAAGCAGGCAGUAGCUCUGUUUCUACAAAAGAAGCCACAGGAAAAGAGGCAGUCUAUGUAUUCUUAGGGACUCUUUCUGGCUGCAGGAAAGGUGAAGGAAAAGAGCUGGGCAUCCUCUACCGUGCUAUGGCCCUCCUGGAACCCUUGUGAGGUCUGGGAAGACUGCCAGGACAGUAGGGGAGAACAAAAGUUUCUGAGUACUUCGGGGACCAAACUUUCAACUCAUGGGCUUUUGGAGACAUUCAAGACUCAAGCCAUUAACAAAGAUCCAAGCUCUGUCUGGAUAGAAGACACUAUAAUUAAUAACCCCACAAGAGGCAAUGUCAGAUAUAUAAAGUAUGGUUCUGAAAGAAGAGUUGGACACUGAGCAAGAGGAAGAAGUGAUGCUGGGCCAAUAAGAGCAUUGUUCAUAAGUCUACAGAUAAAUUUCUACCUUUUGUCCUGGGAAAUACACUUGUUCAAAAACUUCUGUGUGCGUAUAGGCCUCAGUACAGAACUGAGGAAGUUCAUGCAAAUUCCUCACUCUGUCAUCAGUCCCCAAGCAACCAAAUUGCUGAGAUGAGGAGGGGCUAGAGCUAAUGUGUUGAGUGAACAAAUGAUGUGCUUCCUGGAGCUAAUUAUUUCUGAAGCUUGGUGUUGAGUUCAUUGCUGAGAUUUAGAUUCGUUAACCUUAUCUUAGCCUGGGGAACUUUCUCCACAGUAAUCCAGAUUUUAAAUGAGUUUACCUCCAGGCGAGUCACAUUAGCACACAUCCUUCCUGUUAUGGUGGCCUCACCCCAAGGAGCUAAUACAACUUAAUAGCAUGGUUUAGAAAAGGUGGAAGAUAUCCUAAGGAUGGGACCAACCUUUACUUUAUGAGCAUUUCAAUAAAGGUAUGGAGGAAUCCA
Long non-coding RNA from Mesocricetus auratus (golden hamster), 983 nucleotides. RefSeq lists it as uncharacterized. NCBI's taxonomy places the organism in Eukaryota, Metazoa, Chordata, Mammalia, Rodentia, Cricetidae. The transcript has 2 exons. The record is from RefSeq and is a predicted model, not a curated record.